RNAcentral lists this ribosomal RNA (587 nucleotides) under uncultured bacterium. Its description in RNAcentral is "partial 16S ribosomal RNA". It matches the Rfam family "Bacterial small subunit ribosomal RNA", at positions 355 to 937 of the family's 1533-position model. The record is from RNAcentral.
UGGGGAAUAUUGGACAAUGGGCGCAAGCCUGAUCCAGCAAUGCCGCGUGUGUGAAGAAGGCCUUCGGGUUGUAAAGCACUUUUAUCAAGAGCGAAACGCUGUCGGCUAAUACCCGGCGGAACUGACGGUACCUGAGGAAUAAGCACCGGCUAACUUCGUGCCAGCAGCCGCGGUAAUACGAAGGGUGCAAGCGUUAAUCGGAAUUACUGGGCGUAAAGCGUGCGUAGGCGGUUUCUUAAGUCUGCUGUGAAAUCCCCGGGCUCAACCUGGGAAUGGCAGUGGAUACUGGGAGGCUAGAGUGUGUCAGAGGGUGGUGGAAUUCCCGGUGUAGCGGUGAAAUGCGUAGAGAUCGGGAGGAACAUCAGUGGCGAAGGCGGCCACCUGGGACAACACUGACGCUGAGGCACGAAAGCGUGGGGAGCAAACAGGAUUAGAUACCCUGGUAGUCCACGCCCUAAAGCGAUGCGAACUGGAUGUUGGUCUCAACUCGGAGAUCAGUGUCGAAGCUAACGCGUUAAGUUCGCCGCCUGGGGAGUACGGUCGCAAGACUGAAACUUAAAUGAAUUGACGGGGUCAUAGCUGUUUCC